UCUCAUUCAAAUGACUUGGGGGUCAUUUGACCCCUCUUGUGGCACUAGUAGUAAGUCAAAAUGGCCCGGCGUUUCUAGUGUUAAAAGCUGUAUAUAUUUGAAUAUUAAUGUUAAGAAACAGACAAACUUCAAAUAUGAUUUUUGGGCAAAAGCCACUACUACACAGGUCAUAAUGCAUUAAGGAAUACUGAAUAUCAGUUCAUUAAGUUGAUUUACAGACCAGACAAAAUCAUUUCAAUUAAAGUUAGACUUACCACACUCAAGCAGUUCACUGAGCUUGGCUUCGGAAAUGCUAAUGAAUUUCUGGAUGCCUCUGAACUUGACUUUGACCAACAUGAUCCGUUUGCCUGGAAGGAGGGAUUAAAGACAAAACAAAUUUAAGAAAAACGACCAAACUUGAUUUCCAGUACAGCACUAAAUAAACAUAAUUCCAUGCAUAACCUUCUCUAGGCUUUGAAAUGCAUUUGCACUGAGCAGACAGAAUCUAGCCUGAGCACAUGGCGGCUAGUAACCUCCAUUUUCAAACAACCUCAUCAGCAAUACAGUCAACCAUCUUUCACACUGCAAAAUUACACAGUCACCAUUGUCGCCAAAAUAACUAAGCACAGGGAAUUUAAUUUCCAAUUUCCACAAUGGUAAGCAUAAAACUAGCAAAUAGUGAUAGCUGUGCUCAAGAAAACCUAGGCUUAGUGGCGACGGUUAGCUAUGAUGACUGCUAACUAACCUAGCGUUAGCCGUUAGAUAGCUAAUCAACUUCACAAGGUCACGAAGAGAUCAUGGGACAGCAUAACUCUCACGACAACGGAGCCACGAUACAAUCAAUUCUCUUGACAUAACGUGAUCAAAAUAUCAAGAAGUCAUUCAUUAUUUUCACAUUUCGUGGCAUGUUUUAAUCAAUAAAUGAUCAUACUGUAGUUGCUAUUGGAACUUUCCUUACCUUGCUAGCGUUAGCGAUUAGCUUACGUAGCUAGCUAAAGUUGUCACUACAAAUGUGAUGUAUCAUGCAGUUUUGACCUCUCACGCUAAAUCACAGAGCCACACUGUAAUUCCAUGAGGCUAAAUAAGCAACAGAUUGAAAACAAUGACAUUAUUUUAAAUUAUUACGUACACUCACCUUUCUAUUGGAGCCUCUUCAAACUGGCGCUGACUUCAAGGGCAGAUUCUUGAGGUCUGGCUGUGUAACUGCGUUGUUCCAAAAAAAGGGGUGGAGCCUUCUUUACACUACACUUUUAGCUCUGGAUUUUAACAUAGGCUUCAGUGCAAAUUUAACUUUAUCUGUAGAGGAAUCUACUCUACCUGUAGAGGAAUCUACACUAUAAGUGCAAGUUGAAGUUAACAAUGUGAUUUCAACACUGCAAAUUUUACUGUGUAUAUUGUGAUGAAUAUGUGAAGUGUCGGCUGGUAUGGUUUUUACUAAGCAAAGCCAUGAUAACCGUUAUAUUACGGUUCUGUAAUGUAACCAUUUCAAUACGGUUCUGUAGGAUGUCUUGCAUCAGCCCAUGGUUCUUUUCCCGGUCCGUUUUAUAGGUUAGUUAUGGUCACACCAACCCUGUCGGAAUAACACAGAGAUUGUGCUAACACGUGGCCUAGGCCUCAACUCAACUGUGGAUAAUGUCCGAGUCACGUUUGUGUAAAAGCUACUUUGACGCAACUGCCAAGAUAAGCACAGCGAGGGAAGUCUAGCAUAAGAUAUUCCAUGUAUUGUUAUAACGUUGUUGCAAGCUAGCAGCAGCCUAGCUCAGUUUUGCGAUCGCUUUGAAGUGACGAUUUCCUUGUGUGUAAUCUGGCUUUCUGUGUUAUUUUAACAAAUAUAUAUAUAUUUUUAAUUCCGAUAACGUUUUUCUUUGUUGACCAAUCACUGUUGUGCUUCACCUGUUUUGGCAGUUAUGAGAACCUCACAUCCCCUACUUCAUCCACACCAUGCAAGCGCAGGAGAAACCUGCCUCUUCCCCAAGCUUCAAGCAUUCAUUCAGAGACACUCUUAGACAGAGCCGAUGACUUCUUGGAUGCUGAAGAUGUAGAGGACACCAAUCCUGCCACUACCUUUCAAAGUAUGGCUACAAGUAUUUCUCCACAGGUAAAUGACAUUGAAGUCAUAACUGAAGAAGAAUUUAAUGACAUCCGGAACUCUACAAUUGGCUGGGCCGAUAACACCUGGGAAGAUGACAGUGGAGAAGAUGACAGUUGGUACCCAGAAAUGGAGAUGGACAAUGGGUCAUCUUCAGAGGAGGAAGAAAUGAUGGGGGAAGACUGUGAAUGCAGUGAUGACAGUGACAUCGAUUACGUGCCUUAUCUCUGUGUGCGGACUGGUGGAGCUCUCCAAAAGAGCAAAUGGCUGGACACAUUACCAGCUGUUGGUCUGGAGGAGACUGUUCAUGACCUUGAUGAUGGACACAAUUCCUCAGAAGUGAUACCACCGCUACCAGAGAAGACCCAAGUCCUCUGCAAGGAAGAUAUAAUUGGACAACCAGCUUCCAUUGUCUACCAUAGCUGUCUUAAACAGCUGGCUCAGUAUCUUGUCUUACCAAUCCCCAAGUGCAACACAAAGGACCCAGUAACUGAUGCUGAAUGUGGAGCACUUAGACCAUUUGAGGUGAAAAUAACUUCCAGGGGCACAUCAGUUGUCGUGGAAUGGAUAUGUCAUCAGGGUCACAGUGUCUGGAGGUGGAACUCCCAGCCCACUCUAAAAUAUGGGAUGCAUGCAGGUGACUUCAUGUUGUCCUCGAACAUCCUACUCUCUGGGAACAACUACGGGAAGGUGGCUCUGCUGUUCAAAUUCAUGAACUUGGGAAUAGUACACAGAACCACAUUCUUUAAAAUCCAGGACGCCUACUGCUUUGACGCCAUCGAGGACGACUGGGAUGACAAGAGGUCAGCCAUUAUUACCCGGCUGAAAUCAAAGGACAGUGUAGUGGCCCUUGGUGACGGUCGUAUGGAUAGUCCUGGGUUUUCAGCACAGUACUGUACAUACACAACGACGGACAACGACAGUAAAGAGAUCAUAUCAAUUGUCAAUAUUGAUAAGAGGGAGACCCAGAAGAAUUCGGUUAUCAUGGAGAAGGAGGCUUUCAUCCGGACCUUUGAGACUCUCCACAAAGAGAUUCGCCUACAGGAGUUUUGCACUGAUGCUCAUUCACAGAUCUCGGCGCUCUUCAAUCCAACAAAAGGCAGGUUCAAGGACUCUGGUGUUCGACACACCCUUGACAUCUGGCAUGGGUCAAAGAACUUGGGUAAAAAAAUCCAUGCAGCAGGCCUUCGGAAAGGAUGUUCAAUUCUCCUUACCUGGAGUAAGGAGAUAUGCAACCAUUUCUGGUAUUGCUGUAAGACUGCACAGAACAUUGAUCAGUUCGGUGUCUUCUCCACCAUGUUCAAGGAGAGCAUGAGUGGGCCCUAUCUUGCUGUGAACAUGGCCCCUUGUCGGCCGACAGGGAGAAGGAGUGGAUCCAGAGUGAUUCUGAGGCCUUUCAGGUUCUGUCAGAAAUAGUGCUGGAUGAGCACUGGCUGAAGAAUGUGGAGAAGUUCCUGAGUUUCAGGUCAACCGCUGAGCUGGAAUCCUUCCAUAAUCAUAUACUGAUGUAUGCCAGCAAGCGAUUCAGCUUUAGCCCACCUGUUUACAAAGCAGGCACCCUCUUAGCAGCGUUGGACUAUAACCAUCAUGUUCACAGACCGGUGAAGAGGAAGGCUGAUGGCUCAAUAGAGUACUGCAAGCUCUACAAUAAAAAGUCAAAGACUUGGAGUCUAUACACUGUGAAGGUGGAGAAGGACUACGGAUACAUGGCAGACCUGCAGAGUGCUAUCCUAGAAGCCCGGCUGACAUCAGACAAGGGUUUGCCAAAGACCAGAAAAAAAGGCCUAAUGACCCACGGCAAUAUGGGGUUCUUGCAAGCAUCCCACCACCCAGGACCUGUUGCAAACCCAAUUCCACAGAGGAGUAGGGCAAGGAAUGCAGUAAGAGACCUAGAAGAGAUUGGAGGUCCCAUACCAACUAAACUGGAGCUGACUGUAGGCUGCUGGGGGCUGUUUGGAAUAGUAUUACGCUGCUCACUUUUUGAUUUUUGAUAUUUGUAAAUAUUCGAUUUAUUAGGUCUAAAUGUCCUUCACAGUUUUGAAUUAUUUACACUUUGUUCUUAUAAAAUAUAUAAAAAAAAAAAAUAGGAUUUUGUAUAUAGUUUUUUAUGAUCAAUUUGUUUAUAAUUGACAUAUUUUCAAUGCAGUUGCACGAUUGUUCUGCUAAAAAGGCAUUUUGUUAUGUAGUGCUUUUAUACUUAUUUAGAAUUUGCACUUGUGCUGCAUGUAGUCAUCGAAGGCCAGGGUGUUCCUGUGUGUGUGAGUUAUUAUCUUAUUGUUUUAUUAUUUAAUAAAAAAGCUUUUUACCGCACCUGCCCUCAUCCUUUAUCCAGCAUUACACCUGCUGAAUGUGCAUUGUUAUUAUGAUAUGCUAUAGUUAUUGUCUGCUGUAACCGACAAUGAAAAGAUGGGUCAUAAUAACAGGAAACUGAACAUGUAUUUUUUAAACACUUUUUAAUGAUGCUUAAAGUCUCCUUGUGAGGAAGCCAACAUAUUGUCCAAGUGGGUCUGGGUACUUGUCCCGUAUCCUCCAGACACAACAACUAGGGAUGACGACCCUGUGUCCCCGAGCCAGUGCUCCGUAUUGCCAAACAACAAACUGCCUAUAGGCGGCAAACCUAAAUAGUUUGUUGUCCUCCCCUGGGUCUGGACGGUCAGCCACAGCACGGACAUCAUUCCAGAUCCUCCUGGCCAGCCGUAGAACCCCCCCCUGCAUUAUGUAUGCGUCCAUGUGAGGCAUCAUGGAGACACAGGAGUCCAGGAGUUGUCCACAGCAUUUCCUCUCUAUAUCCGUAGGCAUCUCCUUGCAUUUGGUGCAAAUGCACCAGGCUGGCUGCUGUGGGUCACUGGGACCAGGCUGUUGUGGGUCAGAUGUGGGAUGAGGGAUGGACAUGGCCAGGAGGUCAAAGAUGAGGGAUGGUUCCCGUUCCAAACACAGCUCCAGCAGAUGGUGGGAAGCUUCUAGGUUCAGGUUUCUGAUUCGAACCUGGCCAGGAAAUGUACAAUUACUUAUUACACAUUUAUACUGACAAUUGGCUCGCCUGAUUUUUAAAAGUAUGACAUGAAAUAAACAUACCUGGGGUCUCAUUUAUAAACGUUGCGUACGCACAAAACGGGGCUGAAAUUUGCGUACGUGACUUUCCACGCCAAGGUUGUGAUCUAUAAAAAACCGACUUGACGGGAGAAUGUGCGCAGCCCUAAGCAAACUCUGACCCAUGCGUACGCAUGGUUUGGAGGAAAAGGAGAAAUGGCGACACAGAUUGUGUGGUGGUGAACUGAAGUCAGACAGAAGAAUUGUAGAGUGAGAAGAACGAUAAUGUUUUAUCAUCGCCCUUCAUAAAUUUAAUUUCGACCCGUAUCAUGCGUUAAAUCUACGUAAUCAGAAUAAUUUAAGUCAACUGCGUUAUUUCUCAGUUAUAACUCCAGAAACAUCUCCUUAGAAUAAAAAUAAAAAUAAAUCUCUAUAUUUAAUCCCGUCACUCCAUAGGCUGUCCACUGACGGCGCGACUGCAUGGAAUAAAGCAUCCGUCCAACAUGUGUCAAUAACAUAAUAUUUUUAUGUGACACUGUAAACACAUAAUCAAAUGUCAAUUAAAUCCCAACUGUGGAAAACCAAGCCACACUCCUCAUCACAAUCGUUGUCCGUUACUCUUGAUGCUUUUCAUUAAGUGUUCUCGGUCAGUCUACCGUAACCCUAUAAAUACAGAGGUGAGCGCCGUGGUAAUGCUGCACCAUAUGGCACUUCUGGCGGACCAUGCAAAUGGCAGGAUUCGGAGGGAGAGGGUCUUUAGGGACCAUAACGAUUUAUUGGUAGGCUACAUAAAAAUAUGUACCUUUAUGUCAGACGAGUCCACUUCUUUUUUAAUUCUGGGACUGUGCGCUCCGUGCUACUGAGAGUUCACUGCUGCAGCAACAUGUUGCCGCUCACUCUGCUUUUGGUUGUUGGCGAUCCCAUCCGUGACCGCCGAACAAAACUACUUUUCGGGCAUCCAUUUCACCCGAAAAGUGUCUCCACUUCAGCCUCCGUGAAAUUUCGCUUUUUUGCUUUUCUCAGUACUUCUGCCAUUGUUUCCGACAAGACAUAAUACUUGCAUCUGAGUCUGUUUUAUAUGCAGAUCGCAUUCAUGAGGUCAUUUGCAUUGACCAUUUAUGGUUAAAAAGGGGCGUGUACAGGGCGGAACGUGAAGCUGAUUCAGCUGCGCACACUUGUAGUCAGUAUGUGAUUUAUAAAGCAAAGAUUGCGUACAGGUGUGCGUACGCAGUGUUUUAUAAAUCCGAAUAUUUUUUGGCGCACGCAAAACUUGGCUUAUGGGCGUACGCACAUUUUUAGUAACGAUCCCACGCACAGUUUUCUAAAUGAGACCCCUGCUCAUUUGUGAUUCGUUGAAUCCUGAUUGCUUCCACACGGGCCAUGUCCUCUUGCCCUAUCGUGUCAGGACCUCUCCUACCGCGACCUCGUCCCCUUCCUCUGCCCCUGCCUCUGCCCCUAGGCUGCCUGCCUCUAGCAGCAGAACGUCCGCUGACCCUACAUAUCCCACGUCCUGUGCUGCUAGGACCUGGGAUAAUUGUCCCCAGAGCCAGCUUGGCUCUCUUCUUGGACACUCUUAUAAUGCAAAAAAUUAGCGUUAUUGUAGUACAAUUCAUGACUUCAAAACGUCAGUAUAUAAUAUAUUGAUGACCAGGUUACUAGCUCUGGCAGCUUAUGCUAACGAACUACAGUUGCAAUUAGUUUGCUAUCUUGCUUGGCUGAUACAGCUACCUUUCUUAGGCCUACCAGCGCCAUUGCAAUGAUUUUAAGAUAACAUACAUGGUAUGUCUGUGAGUAAGAUGUUGAUGCUAUAUAUGUACUUAUGUAGCUAUCAGCACUAAUGUUUAAUUACCUCGGAAUCGGACAUGGUGUUUCGUCUUCCUAUCAAUGUAACUGAAUUCACAUGAACGUGCAUAACUGACGUUCGGUGGGAGGAGCUACAGCAGGUAGCAUGGCAGGGACGGGCCAGAGAGCACGCGA
RNA transcript from Gadus chalcogrammus (walleye pollock), 7075 nucleotides. RefSeq lists it as uncharacterized. The record is from RefSeq and is a predicted model, not a curated record. The transcript has 13 exons. NCBI's taxonomy places the organism in Eukaryota, Metazoa, Chordata, Actinopteri, Gadiformes, Gadidae.